Molecule: ribosomal RNA, 250 nt
Filed under: uncultured bacterium
Lineage: Bacteria
Description: partial 16S ribosomal RNA
Rfam family: Bacterial small subunit ribosomal RNA
Source: RNAcentral
UACAGAGACCACAAGCGUUAUCCGGAGUUAUUGGGCGUAAAGGGUCCGUAGGCGGCCUUGCAAGUCGUGUGUCAAAUCUCUGGGCUCAACCCAGAGUCUGCGUGCGAUACUGUGAGGCUAGAGACUGGGAGAGGCACAUGGAAUUGCCGGUGUAGCGGUAAAAUGCGUUAAUAUCGGCAAGAACACCAAAGGCGAAGGCAGUGUGCUGGAACAGUUCUGACGCUGAGGGACGAAAGCGUGGGUAGCGAAU